UAAGGAAUAUUGGACAAUGGAGGCAACUCUGAUCCAGCCAUGCCGCGUGAAGGAACAAGGCCCUAUGGGUUGUAAACUUCUUUUAGACGGGACAAAACCCCUUUACGUGUAAAGGGUUGAUGGUACUGUCAGAAUAAGCAUCGGCUAACUUCGUGCCAGCAGCCGCGGUAAUACGAAGGAUGCAAGCGUUAUCCGGAAUUAUUGGGUUUAAAGGGUGCGUAGGCGGACUAAUAAGUCAGUGGUGAAAGCCUGCAGCUUAACUGCAGAAUUGCCAUUGAUACUGUUAGUCUUGGGUACAGUUGAGGUAGGCGGAAUGUGUCAUGUAGCGGUGAAAUGCUUAGAUAUGACACAGAACACCGAUUGCGAAGGCAGCUUGCUAAGCUGUAACUGACGCUGAGGCACGAAAGCGUGGGGAGCAAACA
This 422-nucleotide ribosomal RNA is filed under the name uncultured bacterium. RNAcentral's name for it is "bacterial SSU rRNA". It matches the Rfam family "Bacterial small subunit ribosomal RNA", at positions 355 to 774 of the family's 1533-position model. The record is from RNAcentral.